RNAcentral lists this long non-coding RNA (2902 nucleotides) under Sus scrofa (pig). RNAcentral describes it as "lncRNA (ENSSSCG00060008749.1)". The record is from RNAcentral. Lineage: Eukaryota; Metazoa; Chordata; Mammalia; Artiodactyla; Suidae.
CCUGUACUCUCUAGACCGCUCACCCGCCUGAUCUCUAUGGUCUCCGUCUGCGCAUGUGCGGCGUAGGCCCCACCUCUUCUUUUCCUCCCGCGCGGGCCACGUGAGGAGAUUCUGGAGCCUUCAAGUUGUCCCCCGUGCGCAAGCAGCAGGACGAGGCCCAGGACUUUUCGGGCCUGCACGUUUGCUGAGAGUGGUGUUCUUGUGGCGGGGGCGGAAGGUGGACGUCUUAGGAAGCCUUGCGACCCAGUCGGGACCCCCACAGGGACUCCGCAGUGCCUGGGGAUGGCCUGGACCUCGCCCGGGAAAGCUGACACUUCACAGGCCUCUCUAAUGUCCGAAGUGCUCCAGAAAAUGAAUCUAUUUGAGGUGAGCUCUUUCUCCUCCUCUUUGUGCUGUGAUGGAUUUCACUUUUUUUUUUUGUCUUUUGUCUUUUCAGGGCUGUACCUGUGGAUUGUGGAGGUUUCCAGGCUAGGGGUCUAGUCAGAGCUACAGCUGCUAGUCUACACCACAGCCCCAGCAAUGCCAGAUCCAAGCCGAAUCUGUGACCUAUACCACAGCUCAUGACAACUCCAGGUUCUUUAACUCACUGAGCGAGGCCAGGGAUUGAACCCGCAACCUCAUGGAUCCUAGUCGGAUUCGCUUGCGCUGCGCCACGAUGGGGACUCUGGAUUUCACUUUUGAUUUCCGAUUGUUCUCAUCCUUUAUGAAUGAAAAUUAUUUACAAUUUAUAAUCAGUUUGCUGAGAUUUUAUUUGAGACAUGGAGGUACUCGGAAAUAAUUCUAUUGAAUUCUUUUUUGCAUUUGUUGGAGUAAAGGUGUAUAGCAGCUUACUUUUGUUUUAAGGUUGUAACUGCCAUCUUUUUGUGAAUAUAUUUUAAUUUUUCUUCAAAUUGUAUUGACCAAGUCAGUUUGCCUAUAAUUGUGUUUUCUUGUGUCCCUGCCCAACUGUGAUAUGUUGAUUAUACUAGCUUUAUUGGGGCACUUUCCUGCUCUUUUUUCUUCUCCUCUCCCCCUCCUCCCUUCCCCUUGCUUUUUCCUACCCUGCCUUCUCUCAUUCAUAUAAGAAAAUAACCUAUUACAAAUUUCAUGAAACUCAGCUCUAACAUUGGACUUUGUGAGUACAUCUGCUUUUUAUGUGUAAAUACAGAUUAUUGAGUCACUUUAUUUAAGCAAUCCUGGGUGUAGUCUUGUAUUUUAAUUAUUUUUUUUAUUCAUCUUUGGAUGUUUAGGGCCACACCCACAGCAUAUGGAUGUUCUCAGGCUAGGGAUCAAAUCACGGUUGUAGCUGCCAGCCUACUCCACUGCGACAGCAAUGCCAGAUUUGUAACCCAUGGAGCAGGGGCAGGGAUUGAACCUGCAUCUUCAUGGAUGCUAGUUGGAUUUGUUGUCACUGAGCCAUGAUGGGAAGUCCUCUAUUUUUUAUUAUUACCACAUUUUCAGAGAAAAUUGUACACUCUUAUCUGCUAGGAAAUGUAUUUUCGGAACCUUGUUGAUAGUAUUCUUUUAAAUCUGUUGUUAUGUUGAUAUUUCUGUCUCCAGGUGUUUAAGUAAUUUACUUAAUGAAGGGAAUGGUGAUCAGAAGCCAGCCAAAUGUGUUGCUGGUUGGCUCUGUCAGAAAUCUAGAUACUCAGGGUCUGAGGAUGAGCUAGAAAUUUUUACUGGUAGUAUAUUUUAAAUACUGAAUUGAGGGAGCAUAGAUUAAGCCAUUUUACUGGUUCCCACCUCAGUACACCAGCUGUCAAGUUCUUUUUUAUGUAAGUGAUAUGUUNUUUUUUUUAGGGCCGCACUCAUGGCAUAUGGAAGUUCCCCGGCUAGGGGUCAGAUCGGAGCUGUAGCCGCAGCAACACCAGGUCUGAGCCACGUCUGCGACCUACACCACAGCUCACAGCAACACUAGUUCCUUAACCCACUGAGUGAGGCCAGGGAUGGAACCUGCGUCCUCAUGGUUGCUAGUCAGAUUCUUUUCCACUGAGCCAUGAUGAGAAGUCCAAGACACUCAAAUCUAAACAGAGGAGUUCCUACUGUGGUACAAUGGGAUUAGCUUUUCUGCAGCAUCAGGACACAAGUUGGAUUCCCAUUGGGCACAGUGGGUUCAAGGUUCUGACCUGUGGUUAGGAUCUGAUCCUUGUCAUGUAAACUCCACAUGGGUUGGCCAAAAGAAAGAAAACAAUCUAAAUAGAAAGACUCAUUGAAUUCUGUGACCAGUUUGAAUUAAUUAUUUUUUCUUUGUGGUGCAAAGUAUGAAUCCAGGGUAUUGCUGUUAAUUUAUUUUCUGAUGGACAUUUUUAGUCUUGUAUGAUUUUUCUCAGAAUAUACUUUCUGCACUGAAUUGCCUGAGCACUUCAGUUAAAGAAAUGUGUGCACAUUUUGUCACAUCUGUCGUUUUUGGUGUUUCAUUUUUGUGAGUAGCACACACUGUUUUGGUGAGUGGCUGUAUGAUUUGUCUUGAAAUCAAGUAGUAGCAGUCCUCCAACUUUGUUCUUUUCAAAAUUGUUUUUAGAUUGUAGGUUGUUUGCUUUUCUACAUAAAUAUUAGAGUCAGCUUAUGAUUCUCAAAAACCCUGGAUAGCUUUUGAUUGUGAUUGCACUGAAUCCAGAGAUCUCUCUGUGGAGAACUGACAUCUCCAUCCUAUUAAGUCUCCUAAUUUAGGAAUUCAGUUUCUCUCUGUUUACCAGGUUAUCUAGAGAACUUGAAGCUGAGGAGGGACACGUGUCACUCUUGAGGGUGGACUCUAUUGGGGCAGUGGUGGCAACAGUUGGUGUUGCAGGCUCUUUCAGUACUUCUUUCAAGAAACGAUGAUGUUAGCAGUUGUAUUUAGAAAGGAUCAAAUAUUGGAUGGAUCGUGAAGGCAGAGAGCCAAGCUUCCAUAGAACAUUGCAAAUAAAGAGUGUACUGUCGGACA